CAGGCAUGCAAGCAGGGUGCGUGCAUGCGCGUAUGUGCACGUGCACAUUGAUGCAUAUAGGUCUUAUACAUGCAUACAUAUAUUUUGAAAUAUAAAAAUGUAAACGAGGAUCAGAUAUAGAGUUUUUAACAAACGUGCGUGUUCAUAGGCGCCAAAUUCUUUCUCCGCCGGUGGCAGCGUCAUGCUUACUUAGCAACGAAAGAAGCUCUGAAGCGCCCACGCGCUUUGAAGAGGAGAAAAGCGGCGCGGUCACGUUUCCCGCGUGGUUUCAGACGCGACAUGUAAUGUAAAUGUUAAAGCAACUGUGCGUAUGUGUUGGCCGUUUCGGUGGCUGCCCGAGCCGAGCCCCGGAGGACCCAGGGGAUCAGGGCAUAUCUGCGUGUUUCUUUGUAGCACUUCCACUCAUAAAACAACAAGUGAGAAACCUUUUUGUGGUUAUAAUGUUUCAACCUGCGCUGAAAACGCGUUCUGAUGAUGUACUGGUAGCGCAGAUUGAUACUUUUUCGCAACUUUGAAUGACUAAGAGGGAACGUCCGUUUCUCAACCGAAGGCUGCAACCUCCGGAGGUCGCAUAUGCAGGCUGUAUGUCAUCAAGCCUUAUUAUUUUCAUACAUUUGCAACUCAUAAGCAUAUUACAACAAUGUAUGAUCAACAAAGAAUAACAGUCAAGCUUUCAAAAAUGAUAUUGGUAUGAAAAAUGACUGUAUAUUUGAAUCCAUGUUUCUUUGUCUUUUAGGUGUUGGCAACAGCAACAGACGUUGAAAAAACACUAGCUUCCUGUCUAUUUUUGUGAAUUGCUCACAGCAAGCGUUUGGAUGCUGAGCAUUGGGUGGUUGUGCAUCCACAUCCCCACUUCGUGGCUGGAAAGGCAGUUUGUUUUCUAGCUACUACAACUUCAAUUUUGUGUACCAGGAGCAAGCAUCUUGCACACUGGAGUUUAUUCAAAGAUGCUUCAUUGGACUGAACCCAUCCACCAAGACAGCAAAGGUGGUUAGCCAAAAAAGCGGGAAGGUACAGGAGAAAAAGAACAACUGCAUUAACCCUAACGUCUCCUCUCUACUCAAGCGGCUGAUAGAUUUUGAAUGGCUUCAAUUGUAAGUCUCAAGCGACUUCCUCACAAUAUGAAUGGACACUGAAUUUAAUAUGAUUUUCACUGAAUGUUAAGAAAAUAAAUAGAAUAUGCUGUUAAGAAAAAGACCUUCUGAAAAUGUACAGUAUUGUAACACUGUAUUUUGUUUUAAUAAUAAACAUUCAUGAUUUUGCAUCUUGGACUAUGGUUUUAUUUAGCAGUUGAAGAGAAUCUUAUCCAAUGAUGUUUGGAUUUAAAGCAGGCCUGGUCUUAUUUAAAACACUUUACAAUAGGCAUCAGCAAAGAUGCGAAUGUAAAGAACAAAAUUAACUAUUUAUUUUUUACAACAACAUAAUGUAUUGUAAAAUAUUAACAGAUUUUUGCUGGCAAAUCGAGUUGGCAGCAAAAAGAUGUAAUUAUUUCAAAACACAAUAUGUUGUUGUAAAAAAGAUUCUACAAUAACAUAUUGUAUUGUGAGGAAUUUACAGAUAUUACCUGGCAACUCUAGUUGCCAAGUAAUAUCUGUAAUUUGAAAAGAAAACAAGAUAAUGUUGUAAACUAAAUUACAAUAAAGUAGUGUUUUAAUAUAAAAACCUAAUACUUUGCUGUAAUUUAUGUACAACAAUAACCUGUAAAUGAAAUCCAGUAUUAUACUGUAAUUAAUUUUUACAGUUAUUAAAAGCAAAUUCACAAGACUUUACAAGAUUUUACUGGCAACUUUUUUGCCAGGUACUUACUGUAAAAUCUACAGGCAAAUUCGUUAC
Long non-coding RNA from Paramisgurnus dabryanus, 1833 nucleotides. RefSeq lists it as uncharacterized. The record is from RefSeq and is a predicted model, not a curated record. NCBI's taxonomy places the organism in Eukaryota, Metazoa, Chordata, Actinopteri, Cypriniformes, Cobitidae.